This 465-nucleotide ribosomal RNA is filed under the name Vreelandella stevensii. RNAcentral's name for it is "partial 16S ribosomal RNA". It matches the Rfam family "Bacterial small subunit ribosomal RNA", at positions 338 to 795 of the family's 1533-position model. Lineage: Bacteria; Pseudomonadati; Pseudomonadota; Gammaproteobacteria; Oceanospirillales; Halomonadaceae. The record is from RNAcentral.
CCUACGGGUGGCUGCAGUGGGGAAUAUUGGACAAUGGGGGGAACCCUGAUCCAGCCAUGCCGCGUGUGUGAAGAAGGCCCUCGGGUUGUAAAGCACUUUCAGUGAGGAAGAACGCCUGGUGGUUAAUACCCAUCAGGAAAGACAUCACUCACAGAAGAAGCACCGGCUAACUCCGUGCCAGCAGCCGCGGUAAUACGGAGGGUGCGAGCGUUAAUCGGAAUUACUGGGCGUAAAGCGCGCGUAGGUGGCUUGAUAAGCCGGUUGUGAAAGCCCCGGGCUCAACCUGGGAACGGCAUCCGGAACUGUCAAGCUAGAGUGCAGGCGAGGAAGGUAGAAUUCCCGGUGUAGCGGUGAAAUGCGUAGAGAUCGGGAGGAAUACCAGUGGCGAAGGCGGCCUUCUGGACUGACACUGACACUGAGGUGCGAAAGCGUGGGUAGCAAACAGGAUUAGAUACCCUAGUAGUC